RNAcentral lists this ribosomal RNA (403 nucleotides) under uncultured soil bacterium. RNAcentral's name for it is "bacterial SSU rRNA". It matches the Rfam family "Bacterial small subunit ribosomal RNA", at positions 983 to 1384 of the family's 1533-position model. The record is from RNAcentral.
GGCAAGUACUCGACGACUGUGCAGGACAGCUUACGUACCAUACACGCUUAGCAUUGGUGCUGCAUGGCUGUCAUCAGCUCGUGUCGUGAGAUGUUGGGUUAAGUCCCGCAACGAGCGCAACCCCUGUGAUUUGUUGCCACCGGAGCAAUCCGAGCACUCGAAUCAGACUGCCCAGAUCAACUGGGAGGAAGGUGGGGAUGACGUCAAGUCAGUAUGGCCCUUACGCCCAGGGCUGCACACGUACUACAAUGCCCAGCACAAUGUGAACCGAAACCGCGAGGUGGAGGAAAUCCUCAAAACUGGGCUCAGUUCAGAUUGCAGGCUGCAACUCGCCUGCAUGAAGUUGGAAUCGCUAGUAAUGGUACAUCAGCUACGGUACCGUGAAUACGUUCCCGGGUCUUGU